Zea mays is the source of this 861-nucleotide long non-coding RNA. RefSeq lists it as uncharacterized. NCBI's taxonomy places the organism in Eukaryota, Viridiplantae, Streptophyta, Magnoliopsida, Poales, Poaceae. The transcript has 2 exons. The record is from RefSeq and is a predicted model, not a curated record.
CGUAGGUAAAGGCCGCUGGUUUUUAAGACGCUGCAGAUGCAGUCGUCGAGCUAACAAGCAGCCGGACAAGGUGAAAUGUUCCCGUUAACAUCCCUUGAGGCCUACACUAGGCAGCACACCAAAUGGGGCGACCGCCCUGCCGCCGGGGAGCAUUCAAUCGUCGGCGGCACACCAUCCCCCAUUCUUCCCGUUCCCCAACGUGAAGUGGCACCAUGGUCGCCACUCGCCACGCGCUCGCCGCAGGAGCAGGAGCAGCGACUGCGGGCCAGCCAGCCUCCGGUUGGGUAGCUGUUCUGCGCAACAGCCCGAGGGCGCGGAUGGAGGAGGGACCAAACAGGAGCGGAGGGGAAGGCAGGCGGUACAACUGAUGAGCGGGUACCUGUUCUACGAUAGCGGUCGCUUCAGACACGAAAGAUGUUCUUGCGAGGGACAUGCUGAUCAUCGCCUUCGAGUAAGAUGCUCCAACCAUGAGGAGCAUAGGCACAACUAGCAGGGAGAGCAGGCCGACCUCCCAACAGCACGCGAAGGCAACAAUGAUAGCAACUAAGAACGUGGAGAAGUUUGACAUGAAGUGACCCAUCUGGAGAAAGCAAUGAUAAGCCAAACUUUUAAGAUCUCUGUUAUCAUCGAGCAGUUUUUUUUUUUUGUUUUUUUGGGGGUACUUCUUCUCUUUGGUUAGUUAGUGACUCUUGCAAGUGACAUGUUAUGAGGAGGCCGGACGAGGAAAAUCAAUUACCUUUUCACCAAUUGCGUCUUGUAUGACACUCAUGUGGUUGGUUGCCCCAGCCAUGAUACUUGCAGUGGUUAAGUCGGUGUCGAAGGCUCCGAUAUCUUGGCUGAGCACUGAUCUCAGAUAUGCUA